Molecule: ribosomal RNA, 253 nt
Filed under: uncultured bacterium
Lineage: Bacteria
Description: partial 16S ribosomal RNA
Rfam family: Bacterial small subunit ribosomal RNA
Source: RNAcentral
UACGGAGGAUCCAAGCGUUAUCCGGAUUUAUUGGGUUUAAAGGGUGCGUAGGCGGCCUGUUAAGUCAGGGGUGAAAGACGGUAGCUCAACUAUCGCAGUGCCCUUGAUACUGAUGGGCUUGAAUUGACUAGAGGUAGGCGGAAUGUGACAAGUAGCGGUGAAAUACAUAGAUAUGUCACAGAACACCGAUUGCGAAGGCAGCUUACUAUGGUCUUAUUGACGCUGAGGCACGAAAGCGUGGGGAUCAAACAGG